RNAcentral lists this small RNA (29 nucleotides) under Bombyx mori (domestic silkworm). RNAcentral describes it as "ovarian small RNA-11098". The record is from RNAcentral. Lineage: Eukaryota; Metazoa; Arthropoda; Insecta; Lepidoptera; Bombycidae.
ACAGCAGUGAUGCAGGUUCAGCUCUGUUU